UGAGUGGGUCCUGCUGUCCUCCCACACUGCUCCUGUUCCUCACUCCCUGCUGGAAUAAGGCCAGGGGCUCAUGGACAGCUUCCGUGGUGCUUGGUGCUUCUGCUGCAGCUGCCUUGUGCCCCUUAGGGCUGAGUCAGGACACUUGAGGGGAUGACACCCAGAGCAAGCGCUGUGGGCCUCACACAGAAGGCCUGCAGGCACCUGGGCCCGGCUGAGGCCUACAGAUUCAAAUGGUCUCAUUCUGUACACAGACUUCAGGCUCAUAGUAGCCUGCAGCAAAUGGAAAUCAGAAACAGGCUCAGAUUAGUUUCCCCAUGACUCUUCCAACCCUUGUGCUGUCAUUUCUCCUGUGUAACAAACACUGGUGUACAUUUACUGCCGCUCCUGUGCCAGUUCAUGCACGAUCCUCCUUUAAAGGCAGCGUUGCUCUCACUGGGAAAGCACAACAGGAUGUGUGAAGAAGGCCUGGUACAAAGGGUGGCCUGAAGGAAUUAAGUGACUAAGAGAUAUUUUGUGAGACCUUGUGCUGAAAGGUAAUCCAGGCCCAGCAUCUGUAAAGAGGAGGGCAGACAAAUGAGGCCUUCUUUGGCAUUCACCAGUGUAACCCUUGGCGGCUGUUAAACAGAGCUGGCCAACACGCUGUGUGAAUUCAUUAAUAAAAUACGCCCUGGUAUUGCUAGGAGCUAUGUCAGCAAGUUAUUGUUCUUUAAAUACCACAGUAACAUUCAUGUGUGAGGAACACAACACAAGACAGAGGUUUCACCCCAGUUUCAGAGUUUAUCCUUGCUCUUACUUCCCUGAUAAAAGAGGACAGACAACAGGCAUGAAUUGUGCCUGGUAUGUCCAAGUGCUGUGGGCAUGAGUGCAAUUGCUUUCUUGGACGGAGGGAGGAAUGUGAUUUAUGUAAGAACAAGAAGACAACAUAUACUCUCUUGCAGACUAAAAAGGACAUUGUGUGCUGAGACAAAUGCUUCAGGAAGAGGAGGCAGCGGGCAUAGCUGGGAUCUUCCAAUAGUGUCCUUGGCCGUGCUCCUGACAUAUCCUUGACUAUGCCUUUGCAUGCCUCUCCAAGCUAAGCACAGCUGAAGAAAUCUGCAGCUGCAAGGAUGAGCACAGCACAGCCAUGUCAGAGGAGCAGUGCACAGCCCCCAAGGGCCCACAGAUAGGCAGGGCAGAGGAGCCUGCAUGCUGGGUCACUUCAUGGACCACCUGGCUGUGUGACUACGCUUCAGUUUCAGCUCACCUUCAGUAACAUAUAGGGUCUGCUCACAGACAAGCUCUAUUCCUAUUUCCAUAAGCAGAGAGAGACUGAAAUGGAAAAUUUCCUGCAGAGCUGGGGGAAGAAGGGAGGAUAGCACAGUCCCACGGGUGCAAACAGGCUUUUCUGUAGGAUUCUCGCAUCUUGUUGCAGAUUCCCAAAAGUGACCAUCAUCUGCAUUUUUUUCGCAUGAUGGCAUUAAUUCCAACAACUGAAUAAGCAGAGAACAUCUUACUUAGCAUUUUUCAAAGUCAGAGUGUCAUGCCAAGAAUAUGUGCAUGAAUAAUUAUUUAAGAAAAAACACAGGAAGCUUUGCCAAAUUCAGCACAUCAGGAAGCACUUUAAUCCACGUGAUCACGAAGUAUUGCAUUCAGCAGUGCUUUCAUGAUAACAGGCUUUCCUGUUCUUGAACAGCUAAAAUACUUUGUUCCAUCUACAAAGGGACUGGUGACAGUUGCUCUGUACCAUAUUUCCUACACUUUGUCUGACAGAGCAUUCUUUCAAAGGUGCUUGAGCUGCUGAUCCAGACAUUUGUAGAUAUAUACAAGAUGAUAGUAAUUCAAUACUGCAGACUGAGUUGUGCCUCCUGUGAUUACCAACAUCAUUUGAAAUGGAGUGAAUUUGAGAACGGGGAGUGUGACUCACACUGCAUUACGGUCCUUCAGACACAAAGCUGAUGUAAACCCCCAAGUUUCCUUUAAGAAACAGACGAUCAUAACUGCCACCCAGUAGCACUGCGUGUCUUUUUCCUCACUUGACCCACAAACUGUUGAAAGAAAAUAAAAUUCCCCAGAAAUUAAA
Gallus gallus (chicken) is the source of this 2059-nucleotide long non-coding RNA. The record is from Ensembl. NCBI's taxonomy places the organism in Eukaryota, Metazoa, Chordata, Aves, Galliformes, Phasianidae.